GAAGAACCACAAGCUAACCCAUGACUGAUAUCUGUAUCUGUAUACUACAUAAAAUACUUUAUAAUGCAAAAACAUAAACUAAAAGGCCAUAAGGUUUAAUACUGAACAUGAUCUGGAUGAUAUAACAUCUUUGUGGGGGUAAUAGAAUACCCAAAACAAAACCAAACAUACUGACAUGAUAAUCUAAAAAGUCUCUAACUUAUUGAACUAUCUAAGUAAGGAGUUGAUGGGACAUGUCC
This 239-nucleotide long non-coding RNA is filed under the name Capsicum annuum. RNAcentral describes it as "long non-coding RNA (CANN_LNC010746)". Lineage: Eukaryota; Viridiplantae; Streptophyta; Magnoliopsida; Solanales; Solanaceae. The record is from RNAcentral.